Molecule: ribosomal RNA, 422 nt
Filed under: uncultured bacterium
Lineage: Bacteria
Description: bacterial SSU rRNA
Rfam family: Bacterial small subunit ribosomal RNA
Source: RNAcentral
UCGAGAAUCUUCGGCAAUGGGCGAAAGCCUGACCGAGCGAUGCCGCGUGCGGGAUGAAGGCCCUCGGGUUGUAAACCGCUGUCGUAGGGGAGAAAGGACCGUUGAAGAGACGGUUUUGAUCUAUCCUAGGAGGAAGUCCGGGCUAAGUUCGUGCCAGCAGCCGCGGUAACACGAACCGGACAAACGUUAUUCGGAAUUAUUGGGCUUAAAGGGUGCGUAGGCGGUGCGGUAAGUGAGGUGUGAAAGCCCUCGGCUCAACCGAGGAAUUGCGCUUCAUACUGCCGUGCUGGAGGGAGACAGGGGUAAGCGGAACUGAUGGUGGAGCGGUGAAAUGCGUUGAUAUCAUCAGGAACACCGGUGGCGAAAGCGGCUUACUGGGUCUUCUCUGACGCUGAGGCACGAAAGCUAGGGUAGCGAACGGG